GACGAACGCUGGCGGCGUGCCUAAUACAUGCAAGUCGAGCGAGCGGAACUAACCGAUUUACUUCGGUAAUGACGUUAGGAAAGCGAGCGGCGGAUGGGUGAGUAACACGUGGGGAACCUGCCCCAUAGUCUGGGAUACCACUUGGAAACAGGUGCUAAUACCGGAUAAGAAAGCAGAUCGCAUGAUCAGCUUUUAAAAGGCGGCGUAAGCUGUCGCUAUGGGAUGGCCCCGCGGUGCAUUAGCUAGUUGGUAAGGUAAAGGCUUACCAAGGCGAUGAUGCAUAGCCGAGUUGAGAGACUGAUCGGCCACAUUGGGACUGAGACACGGCCCAAACUCCUACGGGAGGCAGCAGUAGGGAAUCUUCCACAAUGGACGCAAGUCUGAUGGAGCAACGCCGCGUGAGUGAAGAAGGUUUUCGGAUCGUAAAGCUCUGUUGUUGGUGAAGAAGGAUAGAGGUAGUAACUGGCCUUUAUUUGACGGUAAUCAACCAGAAAGUCACGGCUAACUACGUG
This 512-nucleotide ribosomal RNA is filed under the name uncultured bacterium. RNAcentral describes it as "partial 16S ribosomal RNA". It matches the Rfam family "Bacterial small subunit ribosomal RNA", at positions 28 to 507 of the family's 1533-position model. The record is from RNAcentral.